GACGAACGCUGGCGGUGUGCCUCACACAUGCAAGUCGAGCGGAUUUACUUAGUAGCUUGCUAUUAAGUAAGUUAGCGGCGGACGGGUGAGUAAUGCGUAGGAAUCUACCCUAAGGUAGGGGAUAACGGGCUGAAAGGUCCGCUAAUACCCCAUAUGCGGGUUCUCUUCGGAGGAUUCGUGAAAGGAGCAAUUCGCCUUUGGAUGAGCCUGCGUCUGAUUAGCUAGUUGGUAGGGUAAAAGCCUACCAAGGCUACGAUCGGUAGUUGGUCUGAGAGGAUGAUCAGCCACAAUGGGACUGAGACACGGCCAUACUCCUACGGGAGGCAGCAGUGGGGUAAUUUUACGCAAUGGGCGAAAGCCUGACGUAGCGACACCGCGUGAGCGAAAGAAGUCC
This 394-nucleotide ribosomal RNA is filed under the name uncultured bacterium. RNAcentral describes it as "bacterial SSU rRNA". It matches the Rfam family "Bacterial small subunit ribosomal RNA", at positions 28 to 416 of the family's 1533-position model. The record is from RNAcentral.